CCUCUAGUUGACACUUGCUCCCUGUCUUUUAAAGAUCACCUCAGCUCUAAUAUUUCCAGAUGCUAGUGAAUGUUUCUAAGUCAGUUUGCUACUGAAGAUCUCUACCGGCAAAUUAUUUUUACAUCGGCCCCCAGAAUUGGCACCGCACAGCAUGCUAUGUGUACAUAUCUUGGCUUCUGAACAAGAAGGACCACAAGGAACAGCCUACGCUGUUGAAGCAGUUGUAGACUAUCUGUUAUUAAUGCUGAGAGCUCAUCUCUGACUCCAGUGGCCUCUACCCAGGCUCUCCAUCCACAAAGGACAAGAACUGCCCAGCGCUUACUUUUCCAGAAAGCAGACGCCACAGAAGGCACUGUUUCUACCUUGCCUGGCAAAGAUCAUUGGAAAAUGAAUGGUAACUGACAUUGUUGGAAACACUUCCCUUUUCAGAUCCAUGAAAGGCGUUGGGUUCUGAGAUGCAAGCGAGAUCUCCCACCCCGCCCCCCCAAAAAACCCAAAAUAGCUUUAAAAUAUUAAAUAAAUAAGAACAACCUGGCACUUUAGCAUUCUGAAAUAUGUUCACAUCAUUCUCUGACAACUUAAUUAAGAUAUAAAAUGUAAACAAGAAAACACAUUCAUUGUAGAGGAGAUUUGACAGACAGGUACAGUCAUCCUAAUAUGGGCACAAGGAAUUUCCCUCAGCCCAGGAUACCACUCCUCGUCCCGGCUCACCCAGAUCCCCACUUCCAACGUCAGGGUAGCCACUGAUCCGAUCCCACCACCAGAAAUUAGUUUGCCCUGUAUGAGAAUUCACGUCAGUGACAGGUUCUCUUUCGUGCUGGGCUCUGCUUCUUUGCCAGUGAGAGCCUCAGCCUGGCUAGCAUCUUGGCAGUCGGUUUACUUUUACAGGCAAGGCGUUCUUACUUGUGUGGAGAAACUAUCAUGUUGGAUUCCUUUCAGCUUGGCGUCACAGCGCUCGGGGACCCAGGCAGUGUGGCCCUGGUGAGGUUCAGGUGGGAGGAGGCGUAGGUGGGCUCCAUGAGCCAGGACCGUAAACAUCAGUUACUCCAGCAUCAUCACAUAACAAAAGACCUCGAGAAAACAAUCCCACCAAAUGACUGGUGCGUUUCACCAUCUCUCCCAUCAGAUGCUCCGAGCGUUUUCUUUGGCUGCGUCCACUGAGGCCACAUUCACUCUCCAUUUUUGAUUCAGGGUCCUAGCCACUGAGAGUCAGGCCUGCACAGCCAUCCAUUUGGGCACAUGCAUGUCAAAGGGGCUAUAUAUCAUGACAUCAGACAUUUUGAGAAAAUUGCUUUUCCACCCUGAACGCCAAGUCAUAAAUAAUUUCAGGGUAGGAAGAGUUCUGGUAAGCAUGUGUUUGACGCCCAAGGAAUGGUCUGUAAAUACCGCAAGCCAUCGAAUAAAAAAUGAGGGGGCGGGCAGAUUUGUGGGGUCACUUCCAAUCUGGACCCAGCUAUAACUUAUUCUACUGAAAGCUUCAGGAGCUUCCUCCAGACAGGUUUUAGCAGGGGGCGGGGGUGUGCGUGCCCAUCCCCCACCACUAGGACAUCCACUAGAUGCUGAGGGGCUCAGCACAGCUGUGUCCUUAAUCACAGACUUGACCCCCUUGGCUGGAUAGCAGCCUCCUCUUCUGGAAGGUGACUCUUCAUCCUGGAAAUGGACUAACACUGUUCCCACGCCGGUAGACACUUUCUGUGGGUUGGGUUUGAGGGAAGAAAAGGAAGGCCGCUGUUUGUGGCGUUUACCAAUUUCUGUGGUGUAAAUAUUUCUACUGGUUCCGAUUCUAAGGUUCCCACAUAAGAAAGAAUAAGAAGAUUAGAAAUACGAUAUGGAAAAAGCACGCUCAGAAAGCAAGCAAGGGGGC
This 1864-nucleotide small RNA is filed under the name Rattus norvegicus (Norway rat). Its description in RNAcentral is "uncharacterized LOC108349467". The record is from RNAcentral. Lineage: Eukaryota; Metazoa; Chordata; Mammalia; Rodentia; Muridae.